ACCGCGUGAAGUUCUCCCGCCUGGGGAGUACGGCCCGCAUGGUUAAAACUCAAAGGAAUUGACGGGGGCCCCGCACAAGCGGUGGAGCAUGUGGUUUAAUUCGAUGCAACGCGAAGAACCUUACCUGCCCUUGACAUCCUCGGAACUUGUCAGAGAUGACUUGGUGCCUUCGGGAACCGAGUGACAGGUGCUGCAUGGCUGUCGUCAGCUCGUGUCGUGAGAUGUUGGGUUAAGUCCCGCAACGAGCGCAACCCUUGUCCUUAGUUGCCAGCAUUUAGUUGGGCACUCUAGGGAGACUGCCGGUGACAAACCGGAGGAAGGUGGGGAUGACGUCCAAGUCAUCCAUGGCCCUUAUGGGCAGGGCUACACACGUGC
RNAcentral lists this ribosomal RNA (375 nucleotides) under uncultured bacterium. RNAcentral describes it as "bacterial SSU rRNA". It matches the Rfam family "Bacterial small subunit ribosomal RNA", at positions 854 to 1225 of the family's 1533-position model. The record is from RNAcentral.